RNAcentral lists this ribosomal RNA (330 nucleotides) under uncultured bacterium. RNAcentral's name for it is "bacterial SSU rRNA". It matches the Rfam family "Bacterial small subunit ribosomal RNA", at positions 455 to 767 of the family's 1533-position model. The record is from RNAcentral.
GUAACUAUGCACGUCUUGACGGUACCUAAUCAGAAAGCCACGGCUAACUACGUGCCAGCAGCCGCGGUAAUACGUAGGUGGCAAGCGUUAUCCGGAAUUAUUGGGCGUAAAGCGCGCGUAGGCGGUUUUUAAGUCUGAUGUGAAAGACCCACCGGCGUCAACCGUGACGGGUCAGUUGGAAACUGGAAAACUUGAAGUGCAGAGAGGAAAGUGGAAAUUCCGAAUCGUGUAGCGGUGAAAUGACGUAGAGAUUUGGAGGUAACACCGAAGUCGGCGAAGGCGAACGGCGGCCGAGGUCCGUGGGAGGCGAAGGCACGACAGGGAUAGGGA